RNAcentral lists this ribosomal RNA (497 nucleotides) under uncultured bacterium. RNAcentral's name for it is "partial 16S ribosomal RNA". It matches the Rfam family "Bacterial small subunit ribosomal RNA", at positions 28 to 507 of the family's 1533-position model. The record is from RNAcentral.
GAUGAACGCUGGCGGCGUGCCUAAUACAUGCAAGUCGAGCGAACGGACGAGAAGCUUGCUUCUCUGAUGUUAGCGGCGGACGGGUGAGUAACACGUGGAUAACCUACCUAUAAGACUGGGAUAACUUCGGGAAACCGGAGCUAAUACCGGAUAAUAUUUUGAACCGCAUGGUUCAAAAGUGAAAGACGGUCUUGCUGUCACUUAUAGAUGGAUCCGCGCUGCAUUAGCUAGUUGGUAAGGUAACGGCUUACCAAGGCAACGAUGCAUAGCCGACCUGAGAGGGUGAUCGGCCACACUGGAACUGAGACACGGUCCAGACUCCUACGGGAGGCAGCAGGAGGGAAUCUUCCGCAAUGGGCGAAAGCCUGACGGAGCAACGCCGCGUGAGUGAUGAAGGUCUUCGGAUCGUAAAACUCUGUUAUUAGGGAAGAACAUAUGUGUAAGUAACUGUGCACAGCUUGACGGUACCUAAUCAGAAAGCCACGGCUAACUACGUG